RNAcentral lists this ribosomal RNA (1276 nucleotides) under Kocuria sp. Its description in RNAcentral is "bacterial SSU rRNA". It matches the Rfam family "Bacterial small subunit ribosomal RNA", at positions 33 to 1305 of the family's 1533-position model. Lineage: Bacteria; Bacillati; Actinomycetota; Actinomycetes; Micrococcales; Micrococcaceae. The record is from RNAcentral.
GCGGUGGCGGCGUGCUUACACAUGCAGUCGAACGCUGAAGCACCAGCUUGCUGGUGUGGAUGAGUGGCGAACGGGUGAGUAAUACGUGAGUAACCUGCCCUUGACUCUGGGAUAAGCCCGGGAAACUGGGUCUAAUACUGGAUGCUACAUGUCACCGCAUGGUGGUGUGUGGAAAGGGUUUACUGGUCUUGGAUGGGCUCACGGCCUAUCAGCUUGUUGGUGAGGUAAUGGCUUACCAAGGCGACGACGGGUAGCCGGCCUGAGAGGGUGACCGGCCACACUGGGACUGAGACACGGCCCAGACUCCUACGGGAGGCAGCAGUGGGGAAUAUUGCACAAUGGGCGAAAGCCUGAUGCAGCGACGCCGCGUGAGGGAUGACGGCCUUCGGGUUGUAAACCUCUUUCAGCAGGGAAGAAGCCACAAGUGACGGUACCUGCAGAAGAAGCGCCGGCUAACUACGUGCCAGCAGCCGCGGUAAUACGUAGGGCGCAAGCGUUGUCCGGAAUUAUUGGGCGUAAAGAGCUCGUAGGCGGUUUGUCGCGUCUGCUGUGAAAGCCCGGGGCUUAACCCCGGGUGUGCAGUGGGUACGGGCAGACUAGAGUGCAGUAGGGGAGACUGGAAUUCCUGGUGUAGCGGUGGAAUGCGCAGAUAUCAGGAGGAACACCGAUGGCGAAGGCAGGUCUCUGGGCUGUUACUGACGCUGAGGAGCGAAAGCAUGGGGAGCGAACAGGAUUAGAUACCCUGGUAGUCCAUGCCGUAAACGUUGGGCACUAGGUGUGGGGGACAUUCCACGUUUUCCGCGCCGUAGCUAACGCAUUAAGUGCCCCGCCUGGGGGAGUACGGCCGCAAGGCUAAAACUCAAAGGAAUUGACGGGGGCCCGCACAAGCGGCGGAGCAUGCGGAUUAAUUCGAUGCAACGCGAAGAACCUUACCAAGGCUUGACAUAUACCGGAUCGUUCCAGAGAUGGGUUCUUCCCCUUUGGGGUCGGUAUACAGGUGGGUGCAUGGAUUGUCGUCAGCUCGUGUCGUGAGAUGUUGGGUUAAGUCCCGCAACGAGCGCAACCCCUCGUUCCAUGUUGCCAGCACGUGAUGGUGGGGGACUCAUGGGAGACUGCCGGGGUUCAACUCGAGAAGGUGGGGAUGACGUCAAUCAUCAUGCCCCUUAUGUUCUUGGGCUUUCACGGCAUGCCUACAAUGCGGUUAACAAAUGGCUGCCGAAUACUGUGCAGGGUGAAGCUUAUUCCUAAAGGCGUCCUCAGCUUCCGGAAUUGUAGC